UACACUCCUACGGGAGGCAGCAGUGGGGAAUAUUGGACAAUGGGCGCAAGCCUGAUCCAGCCAUGCCGCGUGAGUGAUGAAGGCCCUAGGGUUGUAAAGCUCUUUCACCGGUGAAGAUAAUGACGGUAACCGGAGAAGAAGCCCCGGCUAACUUCGUGCCAGCAGCCGCGGUAAUACGAAGGGGGCUAGCGUUGUUCGGAUUUACUGGGCGUAAAGCGCACGUAGGCGGACUAUUAAGUCAGGGGUGAAAUCCCGGGGCUCAACCCCGGAACUGCCUUUGAUACUGGUAGUCUUGAGUUCGAGAGAGGUGAGUGGAAUUCCGAGUGUAGAGGUGAAAUUCGUAGAUAUUCGGAGGAACACCAGUGGCGAAGGCGGCUCACUGGCUCGAUACUGACGCUGAGGUGCGAAAGCGUGGAGAGCAAACAGGAUUAGAAACCCGAGUAGUCCC
RNAcentral lists this ribosomal RNA (448 nucleotides) under uncultured organism. RNAcentral describes it as "partial 16S ribosomal RNA". It matches the Rfam family "Bacterial small subunit ribosomal RNA", at positions 332 to 797 of the family's 1533-position model. The record is from RNAcentral.